UUCACCGAGGAAGGGGAUGGGAAAGGUGGCCUCUGGAUCAAGCUACCGCCCCGGGAUGGGUUCGCGUCCCAUUAGCUUGUUGGUGGGGUCAAGGCCCACCAAGGCGACGAUGGGUAGCCGGCCUGAGAGGGUGAUCGGCCACACUGGGACUGGAACACGGCCCAGACUCCUACGGGAGGCAGCAGUGGGGAAUCUUGGGCAAUGGGCGCAAGCCUGACCCAGCGACGCCGCGUGUGGGAAGAAGGCCCUCGGGUCGUAAACCACUGUCAGGAGGGAAGAAAAGCAGAUCCCCAACAGGGGUCUGUAUUGACGGUACCUCCAGAGGAAGCACCGGCCAACUCCGUGCCAGCAGCCGCGGUAAUACGGAGGGUGCAAGCGUUAUUCGGAAUCACUGGGCGUAAAGCGCGCGUAGGCGGCAGCGCAAGUCAGAUGUGAAAGCCCUCGGCUAAACCGGGGAAUUGCAUCUGAAACUGCGUAGCUAGAGUUCGGGAGAGGGCGGCGGAACUCCCGGUGUAGGGGUGAAAUCCGUAGAUAUCGGGAGGAACACCAGAGGCGAAGGCGGCCGCCUGG
Molecule: ribosomal RNA, 570 nt
Filed under: uncultured bacterium
Lineage: Bacteria
Description: bacterial SSU rRNA
Rfam family: Bacterial small subunit ribosomal RNA
Source: RNAcentral